This is a transfer RNA of 73 nucleotides. It matches the Rfam family "tRNA". Rfam says of the family: Transfer RNA (tRNA) molecules are approximately 80 nucleotides in length. Their secondary structure includes four short double-helical elements and three loops (D, anti-codon, and T loops).
GCGCCGGUAACUCAGUCGGUAGAGUACUGCCCUUACAAGGCAGGUGUCGCGUGUUCGAGCCACGCCCGGCGCA